ACCUCCAGUUGUAAGAACCGCGAGAACCACUCUCAACCAAUCAGAAGAGAGGGUAUUUUAGUCAUUUACACCAAAUAUCAAAUCUACCUCUCUCUUCAUUUAAGACUUUAUAACCUCUCUCCUCUCUCCUCUCUCUUCUCUCUUAUUAACCUCAUCACAUUCAUCAUCUUCUACAUUUUUCACCUGUUUGUCACUAUCUCUCUUGCUUUAUCUUUGACCUUGCACUAGAGGCCCAUUGCAUGCCUUCUCACUAUUUUUUCCUAACCUCAGUCAAGACGGUCACCGGUUCCCCUUGUCCCUCUCUCUCUUGCUGCCUAACCUUAGUCAAGACGGUCACCGGUUCCCCUUUUUCCGGCGAUAGUUACAAGCGUCCCACCCACACCCCUCGGUUCCCCUCUUUCCGACGACAGCCACCAGCCAAACACCCCCCCCCCUCCGUCUAUGGUGGCGGCGCGUGAUGCCGGUGGUUGAGUUUUCCGGCCGGCCACUGAUACCCCUGGUUAACAUCUUAGUGGAUCAAGAAAAUAUAUAGAUAAGAAAGCUACAACCUUUUUGUUUCUGUGUACAGAAUUUGAUUGUUUGGUAGCGGGAGACUUUAGUGAUUGUUAGGUAGCUUUAAUGGUAUACAUGGAGAGGGUAGGUGUGUAUCAUACACUGUUUUCUUGAUCCAGUUGAAAAUCACGGCGACGGAAGUGGGGGUUCUUUUUUCUGUAUUUUGUAGAUUUUGUGAUAUAUGAAGUGGGGGUGCUUUUUUCUGGAUUUUAAUCGGUCGUUAGUAGGUGGUUGGUCAGCGCCGGAACACGUUGGUGGGAGGUGGUUGGUCGGUGGUGGUGGCGGGGAAUGAUGGGGCGAAGGGGGUGGGUGAUCUGAUGGCUCGGGGAGAGAGGCUGUGGGUGAUCUGCAACCCCAUCUCUGGUGACAUGUUUUGAUUUUUUUUUUAAUCUUUGUUUGAGCCCUGGAUCUUGUGUGGGUUUGAUUUCUGUUGUUUGGUUUGUUUCUUUGAAUCUGUGGGUUUUGGUACGAUCGAUUGGGUGGCGAUGAUGCAAAAAAAAACGUAGAUUUUGAUAUCGAUGGCGCGGCAAGGACAGCGGAGGGUAGGUUUUUUAAACCUGCAACCCCGACUUUUGCAGCCUUUUGAUUAUCGGAUAAUCUGAGCCAAACCCCGUUUUUUUUUCGAUAUACACUUUCUUUUGAUGUUGUUA
Long non-coding RNA from Helianthus annuus (common sunflower), 1202 nucleotides. RefSeq lists it as uncharacterized. The record is from RefSeq and is a predicted model, not a curated record. NCBI's taxonomy places the organism in Eukaryota, Viridiplantae, Streptophyta, Magnoliopsida, Asterales, Asteraceae. The transcript has 2 exons.